AGCCUUUGCACCCCGCGAGGGGAAAGUGCCGCGACUAUAAAGAAAGCAUUUGAAGCAGGUAGCCUUCGAGGCUGCAACACGAUCGAAUUGCGGGGACGUCCUAAAGCUUUACAGUACCAACUCGGUGUAGGGAAACCUGCCGAGGGCCCUCAGGGGAUACGGUCACAACCUGUAAAGAUGCACCAAUGGACCAUCCGCAGCGAAGCUCCUUCAGGCGAAAGCUUAUGGAGAUCGUUCACAGACUAAGUGGUCGUGGGUUACGGGCUUGUGAUGCCUGUGCCUAAGAUAUAGUCGGGCCUUCGAGGAAAUCUCGAUGGGGUGUUUCGCACCAAACCGUUCCGUAGGUGAACCUGCGGAAGGAUCAUUACAGAGUUUUUGCUCGAAAGAGUAACACUCCCACCCUUGUGUAUUUAUACUUUGUUGCUUUGGCGGGUAUGGCUUCGUGCCUGAAAGCUUCACAGCGCCCGCCGAAGGUUACCAAACUCUGAAUUUUUGUCGUCUGAGUACUAUAUAAUAGUUAAAACUUUCAACAACGGAUCUCUUGGUUCUGGCAUCGAUGAAGAACGCAGCGAAAUGCGAUAAGUAAUGUGAAUUGCAGAAUUCAGUGAAUCAUCGAAUCUUUGAACGCACAUUGCGCCCCUUGGUAUUCCAGGGGGCAUGCCUGUUCGAGCGUCAUUUCAACCCUCAAGCCUAGCUUGGUAUUGGAUCUCGUCGGUCACACGACGGGUCUUAAAGUCAUUGGCGGCGCCGUUAGGUCCUGAACGUAGUAAUAUAUUUCGUUACAGGUACCUCGCGUGCUUUUGCCAUUAAACCCCCAAUUUUCAAUGGUUGACCUCGGAUCAGGUAGGGAUACCCGCUGAACUUAAGCAUAUCAAUAAGCGGAGGAAAAGAAACCAACAGGGAUUGCCUCAGUAACGGCGAGUGAAGCGGCAUAAGCUCAAAUUUGAAAUCUGGCUCUUUCAGGGUCCGAGUUGUAAUUUGUAGAAGAUGUUUCGGGUGUGGCUCCGGUCUAAGUUCCUUGGAACAGGACGUCAUAGAGGGUGAGAAUCCCGUAUGUGACUGGAUGCUUUCGCCCAUGUGAAACUCUUUCGACGAGUCGAGUUGUUUGGGAAUGCAGCUCAAAAUGGGUGGUAUAUUUCAUCUAAAGCUAAAUAUUGGCCAGAGACCGAUAGCGCACAAGUAGAGUGAUCGAAAGAUGAAAAGCACUUUGGAAAGAGAGUUAAACAGUACGUGAAAUUGUUGAAAGGGAAGCGCUUGCAAUCAGACUUGCGCCUAGUUGAUCAUCCGGACUUCUGUCCGGUGCACUCGAUUAGGCUCAGGCCAGCAUCGGUUUGGGUGGUUGGAUAAAGGCCUAGGGAAUGUAGCCUCCUUCGGGUGGUGUUAUAGCUCUAGGUGCAAUGCAGCCUACCUGGACCGAGGACCGCGCU
RNAcentral lists this ribosomal RNA (1427 nucleotides) under Leotiomycetes sp. genotype 771 JMUR-2016. RNAcentral's name for it is "eukaryotic LSU rRNA". The stretch from base 830 to 1427 matches the Rfam family "Eukaryotic large subunit ribosomal RNA", at positions 1 to 601 of the family's 3401-position model. Lineage: Eukaryota; Fungi; Ascomycota; Leotiomycetes. The record is from RNAcentral.